GGGCGUAGCAAUACGCCUGCAGGCGACCGGCAAACGGGUGCGGAACACGUACGCAACUUACCCUGAACUGGGGCAUAGCCCGGGGAAACCCGGAUUAAUACCCCGUAACACUGUUGGGUGGCAUCACCUGACAGUUAUAGCUCCGGUGGUUCAGGAUGGGCGUGCGGCUGAUUAGGUAGUUGGUUGGGGUAACGGCCCACCAAGCCGACGAUCAGUAACUGGUGUGAGAGCACGACCAGUCACACGGGCACUGAGACACGGGCCCGACUCCUACGGGAGGCAGCAGUAAGGAAUAUUGGGCAAUGGAGGCAACUCUGACCCAGCCAUGCCGCGUGGAGGAUGAAGGCCCUCUGGGUUGUAAACUUCUUUUACUUGGGACGAAACCACCUUAUUCUUAGGGUGCUGACGGUACCAAGGGAAUAAGCACCGGCUAACUCCGUGCCAGCAGCCGCGGUAAUACGGAGGGUGCAAGCGUUAUCCGGAUUCACUGGGUUUAAAGGGUGCGUAGGCGGGUCGGUAAGUCCGUGGUGAAAUCUCCGAGCUUAACUCGGAAACUGCCAUGGAUACUAUCGGUCUUGAGUACUGUGAAGGUGAGCGGAAUAUGUCAUGUAGCGGUGAAAUGCUUAGAUAUGACAUAGAACACCAAUUGCGAAGGCAGCUCACUGCGCAGUGAUUGACGCUGAGGCACGAAAGCGUGGGGACCAAACAGGAUUAGAUACCCUGGUAGUCCACGCCCUAAACGAUGGAUACUCGACAUACGUGAUAUGACUAUGUGUGUCUGAGCGAAAGCAUUAAGUAUCCCACCUGGGAAGUACGACCGCAAGGUUGAAACUCAAAGGAAUUGA
RNAcentral lists this ribosomal RNA (845 nucleotides) under uncultured Chitinophaga sp. RNAcentral's name for it is "bacterial SSU rRNA". It matches the Rfam family "Bacterial small subunit ribosomal RNA", at positions 72 to 913 of the family's 1533-position model. The record is from RNAcentral. Lineage: Bacteria; Pseudomonadati; Bacteroidota; Chitinophagia; Chitinophagales; Chitinophagaceae.